Mytilus californianus (California mussel) is the source of this 208-nucleotide long non-coding RNA. RefSeq lists it as uncharacterized. The record is from RefSeq and is a predicted model, not a curated record. Lineage: Eukaryota; Metazoa; Mollusca; Bivalvia; Mytilida; Mytilidae. The transcript has 3 exons.
GUAUGGACCCGCUCAAAAUAUCAAAGAAAUUGAGAACAUAUGAAAAGAAUUUCAACUACUUCACUAAAAGCAGAGAUCUUGGUACAUGGACAAUCUGUACAGCAGUUGGGUAUCCUCUGCAAAAUGAUUUUAGCUCAUGUGGUGUUUAUUGUUUGAAGUUCCUCGACCGAUACCUAAGUAAGACAGAUACAUCUUUGGAAUUAAACGU